This 88-nucleotide unclassified non-coding RNA is filed under the name Pseudomonas sp. Z003-0.4C(8344-21). Lineage: Bacteria; Pseudomonadati; Pseudomonadota; Gammaproteobacteria; Pseudomonadales; Pseudomonadaceae. The record is from RNAcentral.
UGUAGGAGUGAGCCUGCUCGCGAUGGCGUCGUGUCUUUGAAAUUGAUUUGCCUGACACGACGCCAUCGCGAGCAGGCUCACUCCUACA